UGAGUGUUUAUUUGCUCAGUAGAAAGCCA
Molecule: non-coding RNA, 29 nt
Filed under: Mus musculus (house mouse)
Lineage: Eukaryota; Metazoa; Chordata; Mammalia; Rodentia; Muridae
Source: RNAcentral